AACGGUAAAUGUUUUGCUUUUAGUUAGUAGCAAUGUAACAUGGUUCCAAUUUUUAAAGCGCUUUAAAUGCGCUGACAGGAGGAUAUACCCAUGCAAAACGGGAAAGUAAAAUGGUUUAACGCAGAAAAAGGAUUCGGCUUCAUCGAAGUUGAAGGCGGAGACGAUGUAUUCGUACACUUUUCUGCAAUCCAAUCUGAAGGUUUCAAAUCUUUAGACGAAGGUCAAGAAGUAUCUUUCGAAAUCGUUGAAGGUGCUCGCGGACCACAAGCUGCUAACGUUACUAAACUUUAAUAGCGUGAUAAAAAGAGCCAGUCAUGGCUCUUUUUUUGU
This 330-nucleotide non-coding RNA is filed under the name Fictibacillus enclensis. Its description in RNAcentral is "Bacillus sp. NIOC03 cspA thermoregulator". It matches the Rfam family "cspA thermoregulator", at positions 128 to 428 of the family's 428-position model. The record is from Rfam by way of RNAcentral. Lineage: Bacteria; Bacillati; Bacillota; Bacilli; Caryophanales; Fictibacillaceae.